GACGAACGCUGGCGGCGUGCUUAACACAUGCAAGUCGAACGAAAAGGCCCUGCUUUUGUGGGGUGCUCGAGUGGCGAACGGGUGAGUAACACGUGUGUAUCCUGCCCUUGACUUUGGGAUAACUUCAGGAAACUGGGGCUAAUACCGGAUAGGAGCUCCUGCAGCAUGGUGGGGGUUGGAAAGUUUCGGCGGUUGGGGAUGGACUCGCGGCUUAUCAGCUUGUUGGUGGGGUAGGGGCUUACCAAGGCUUUGACGGGUAGCCGGCCUGAGAGGGUGGCCGGCCACAUUGGGCCUGAGGGACGGAGCAGUCUCGUACGGGAGGCAGCAGUGGGAAGUAUUGCACAAUGAGCGGAAGCCUGAUGCAGAAGCGCCGCGUGCGGGAUGACGUCUUUCGGGUUAUGAACCGCUUUCGCCUGUGACGAAGCGUGAGUGACGGUAAUGGGUAAAGAAGCACCGGCUAACUACGUG
This 468-nucleotide ribosomal RNA is filed under the name uncultured bacterium. Its description in RNAcentral is "partial 16S ribosomal RNA". It matches the Rfam family "Bacterial small subunit ribosomal RNA", at positions 28 to 507 of the family's 1533-position model. The record is from RNAcentral.